GCAGAGCAUCCUACGGGAGGCAGCAGUGGGGGAAUAUUGCACAAUGGGCGCAAGCCUGAUGCAGCCAUGCCGCGUGUAUGAAGAAGGCCUUCGGGUUGUAAAGUACUUUCAGCAGUGAGGAAGGUGGGUAUGUUAAUAGCAUAUUCAUUUGACGUUAGCUGCAGAAGAAGCACCGGCUAACUCCGUGCCAGCAGCCGCGGUAAUACGGAGGGUGCGAGCGUUAAUCGGAAUUACUGGGCGUAAAGCGCAUGCAGGUGGUUUGUUAAGUCAGAUGUGAAAGCCCGGGGCUCAACCUCGGAAUUGCAUUUGAAACUGGCAAACUAGAGUACUGUAGAGGGGGUAGAAUUUCAGGUGUAGCGGUGAAAAUGCGUAGAGAUCUGAAGGAAUACCGGUGGCGAAGGCGGCCCCCUGGACAGAUACUGACACUCAGAUGCGAAAGCGUGGGGAGCAAACAGGAUUAGAUACCCUGGUAG
RNAcentral lists this ribosomal RNA (473 nucleotides) under uncultured bacterium. Its description in RNAcentral is "bacterial SSU rRNA". It matches the Rfam family "Bacterial small subunit ribosomal RNA", at positions 329 to 793 of the family's 1533-position model. The record is from RNAcentral.